This 253-nucleotide ribosomal RNA is filed under the name uncultured bacterium. RNAcentral's name for it is "partial 16S ribosomal RNA". It matches the Rfam family "Bacterial small subunit ribosomal RNA", at positions 524 to 776 of the family's 1533-position model. The record is from RNAcentral.
UACAGAGGGUGCGAGCGUUAAUCGGAAUUACUGGGCGUAAAGGGCGCGUAGGCGGCCUUCUAAGUCGAACGUGAAAUCCCCGGGCUCAACCCGGGAACUGCGUCCGAUACUGGAAGGCUUGAAUCCGGGAGAGGGAUGUGGAAUUCCAGGUGUAGCGGUGAAAUGCGUAGAUAUCAGGAGGAACACCGAUGGCGAAGGCAGGUCUCUGGGCUGACACUGACGCUCAUGCACGAAAGCGUGGGGAGCAAACAGG